This 433-nucleotide ribosomal RNA is filed under the name uncultured bacterium. RNAcentral's name for it is "bacterial SSU rRNA". It matches the Rfam family "Bacterial small subunit ribosomal RNA", at positions 791 to 1223 of the family's 1533-position model. The record is from RNAcentral.
UAGUCCACGCCGUAAACGGUGGGAACUAGAUGUGGGGUCCGUUCCACGGAUUCCGUGUCGCAGCUAACGCAUUAAGUUCCCCGCCUGGGGAGUACGGCCGCAAGGCUAAAACUCAAAGGAAUUGACGGGGGCCCGCACAAGCGGCGGAGCAUGCGGAUUAAUUCGAUGCAACGCGAAGAACCUUACCAAGGCUUGACAUAUAGAGGAAAAGUGUAGAAAUACACUCCCCGCAAGGUCUCUAUACAGGUGGUGCAUGGUUGUCGUCAGCUCGUGUCGUGAGAUGUUGGGUUAAGUCCCGCAACGAGCGCAACCCUCGUCCUAUGUUGCCAGCACGUAAUGGUGGGAACUCAUGGGAUACUGCCGGGGUCAACUCGGAGGAAGGUGGGGAUGACGUCAAAUCAUCAUGCCCCUUAUGUCUUGGGGCUUCACGCAU